CAAAAUUGAGAGGAUGGUACAGACACCUACUAUAUACCCCUUGAUCUUACACAUCUAUGGCCUCCAGAAUUAUUAGUGUAACCAGAGUGGCUUCUUUCACUUAAUAAAUCUGAGAAGUGAUAGGACUCCCCCAGGAGCCCAAGGUGACAGAGAGCCUGAGCUUGGAUUCACAAUGCUUUUUGUUAAUCAGACCCUGAAUAUCAGCCUCCAUCACAGCCAGCUAUCAGGAAUCCCUGGAGUGUCUUGGUACCUUUGCUCCUGGUAUGAUAAAACCAAGGUUACACAAAGCCAGGCAGUCUACAACUCACGAAAUGGCUAGUGCAUAAUACUCCUGAGGGUAGAAAGAAUGUGUAAUCUCCACUGUCCUUUUUAU
Heterocephalus glaber (naked mole-rat) is the source of this 373-nucleotide long non-coding RNA. The record is from Ensembl. NCBI's taxonomy places the organism in Eukaryota, Metazoa, Chordata, Mammalia, Rodentia, Bathyergidae.